Molecule: long non-coding RNA, 545 nt
Organism: Hyaena hyaena (striped hyena)
Lineage: Eukaryota; Metazoa; Chordata; Mammalia; Carnivora; Hyaenidae
Exons: 3
Source: RefSeq, a predicted model, not a curated record
GAAGGUACGGGUAGAAACCAAGGAACGCCAAGGACCAAUAACCAGCACAAGUGAGGAAAAGACAUGAGAGGCUUCCUCCCAAGAGCCUGCAAAGGAAGCAUGUCUCUGCAGACAGAUCUGAGCCUUGUAGCUUCUGGAAUUGUGAGAUAACGCAUGUCUCUUGCUUUAAGCCUCCCACUUUGUCAUAUUUUGUUAUGGUAACCCUUGGAAACCAAUACAGCUGGGAAGAGAAUGUAACGAUCCAACCAAUGUAGCAUCACAUCCCAAAGAAAUUCUGUGAACAGAGAGACAGUAAUGGGAACCAGCAUGUCAGAAGAUCACGAGUCAUCCGCACACCCAUGCCGGCCAAUUGUCAAGCCUGCAUUCAAUAAACAUCAUGACCAACAAACAUCAUAAAGAGCCUACUAGGAUCCCAGGCCCUAUUCAAAGCUGUCUUCCCUUUCCACACACCAAGUCCCAGGCUUCAAGAGAAGCUAGUAAAAAGCCCACAUGAAGAAGGACCUGUCUGCAGAAAGGGGAUCUGUUCUCCCCAUCCAGGAGGCUGU